UACGGGGGGGGCAAGCGUUGUUCGGAAUUACUGGGCGUAAAGGGCGCGUAGGCGGUUGGAUAAGUCAGCUGUGAAAACCACGAGCUCAACUUGUGGCCUGCAGUUGAAACUGUCUGGCUAGAGUGUGGGAGAGGGAAGUGGAAUUCCUUGUGUAGCGGUGAAAUGCGUAGAUAUCAGGAGGAACACCGGUGGCGAAGGCGGCUUCCUGGACCACAACUGACGCUGAGGCGCGAAAGCUAGGGGAGCAAACAGG
This 253-nucleotide ribosomal RNA is filed under the name uncultured bacterium. RNAcentral's name for it is "partial 16S ribosomal RNA". It matches the Rfam family "Bacterial small subunit ribosomal RNA", at positions 524 to 776 of the family's 1533-position model. The record is from RNAcentral.